Molecule: unclassified non-coding RNA, 1348 nt
Filed under: uncultured Neocallimastigales
Lineage: Eukaryota; Fungi; Neocallimastigomycota; Neocallimastigomycetes; Neocallimastigales
Description: partial contains internal transcribed spacer 1, 5.8S ribosomal RNA, internal transcribed spacer 2, and large subunit ribosomal RNA
Rfam family: Eukaryotic large subunit ribosomal RNA (bases 590-1348)
Source: RNAcentral
AAAAUAAUCCUACCCUUUGUGAAUUUUGUUUGUUUGAAUAAUUUUUUUUUUAAAAAAUUAUUGGAGUCUUUCCCUUUAGAGUUUGCUUUUGAGUUUGUAAAAGAAUUCGAAAACAUCUAAAGGGGAUGGUCAAUAAUUUUUUUGAAAAAAGACAUUUUUUAAAAUUAAACUUUUUGUAUUCAUUUGUCUAAAAAUUAUUUUUAUAAUAUAAAAACAACUUUUGACAAUGGAUCUCUUGGUUCUCGCAACGAUGAAGAACGCAGCAAAAUGCGAUAAGUAGUGUGAAUUGCAGAAUACGUGAAUCAUCGAAUCUUUGAACGCAUAUUGCACUUUUUUAGUUUACUAAAAAGUAUGUCUGUUUGAGUAUCAGUAAAAUAUUCUCAUAAAAUCAUGUGUAUUUUUAUGGUUAUGAGUGUUUUACAACGAUACAAGUUGUUUCACUUUAAAUUUUUUUUAAUAUUGAAAUUUUUCUAAUUUUAAUAAUUAAAAUUGGAUAAAAUUUUCCCGUCAAAAGGAAUAACCUAAACAAUUUUAAACGAUUAAUUUUAGCAAAAUUUUCGUAAAAAGGAAAAUUUUUAUUAAAAUAACUUGAUCUCAAAUCAGAUAAGAGUACCCGCUGAACUUAAGCAUAUCAAUAAGCGGAGGAAAAGAAACUAACAAGGAUUCCCUUAGUAACGGCGAGUGAAGCGGGAAGAGCUCAAAUUUGAAAUCUUCAAGGUUUUACCUUGACGAAUUGUAGUUUAAAGAAGUGUUUUCUGCUGAAGUUUUGGUAAAAGUUCUUUGGAAUAGGACAUCAUAGAGGGUGAGAAUCCCGUAUUUGACCAUUAUUUUCAGCUUUGUGAUACACUUUCAAAGAGUCGGAUUGUUUGGGAUGCAGUCCAAAAUGGGUGGUAAAUUUCAUCUAAAGCUAAAUAUUGGCGAGAGACCGAUAGCGAACAAGUACCGUGAGGGAAAGAUGAAAAGAACUUUGAAAAGAGAGUUAAACAGUACGUGAAAUUGUCAAAGGGAAGCGUUUGACACCAGUGUUGUUUUCUCGAAAAUCAAUUAAAAAUGGCUCGAUUUUGUAUUGCUGAGACCUUAAAAGCUCACUGUACAUUUUUCGUGUCUUUUUUAAUGCACUUUUCGUUUAACAAGUCAACAUCAGUUUCUUUUGUUGUAAAGGGUCAUUGGAAGGUGGCUUUCUUUUCGGAGAAAGUGUUUAUAGCCUUUGGCCUCUGCAAUCGGAGAGACUGAGGUCUGCAGCGUAGACUCUUCGGGGUUAGAUACAUUUGUGCUAAGUUAUAGCUUUUUAUAGACAACUUGUUGACUAUAAUUGGUCUUGUAGCUUACUCGCUUAUGCUAUUUUACC